UUGAAACUGGGAAACUAGAGUAUGUGAGAGGGGGCUAGAAUUCCAAGUGUAGCGGUGAAAUGCGUAGAGAUUUGGAGGAAUACCAGUGGCGAAGGCGGCCCCCUGGCACAAUACUGACGCUCAGGUGCGAAAGCGUGGGGAGCAAACAGGAUUAGAUACCCUGGUAGUCCACGCCGUAAACGAUGUCUACUAGCUGUUCGUGGUCUUGUAUCGUGAGUAGCGCAGCUAACGCACUAAGUAGACCGCCUGGGGAGUACGGUCGCAAGAUUAAAACUCAAAUGAAUUGACGGGGGCCCGCACAAGCGGUGGAGCAUGUGGUUUAAUUCGACGCAACGCGAAGAACCUUACCUACUCUUGACAUCUAGCGAAGAUUGUAGAGAUACGAUUGUGCCUUCGGGAACGCUAAGACAGGUGCUGCAUGGCUGUCGUCAGCUCGUGUUGUGAAAUGUUGGGUUAAGUCCCGCAACGAGCGCAAC
This 476-nucleotide ribosomal RNA is filed under the name uncultured bacterium. Its description in RNAcentral is "bacterial SSU rRNA". It matches the Rfam family "Bacterial small subunit ribosomal RNA", at positions 627 to 1102 of the family's 1533-position model. The record is from RNAcentral.